CACGUAGGGGGCAAGCGUUGUCCGGAUUUAUUGGGCGUAAAGAGCUCGUAGGUGGUUCGGUAAGUCAGGUGUGAAACCUCCAGGCUCAACCUGGAGACGCCACUUGAUACUGCUGUGACUGGAGUCCGGUAGGGGAGCGUGGAAUUCCUGGUGUAGCGGUGAAAUGCGCAGAUAUCAGGAGGAACACCAGCGGCGAAGGCGGCGCUCUGGGCCGGUACUGACACUGAGGAGCGAAAGCGUGGGGAGCGAACAGG
Molecule: ribosomal RNA, 254 nt
Filed under: uncultured bacterium
Lineage: Bacteria
Description: partial 16S ribosomal RNA
Rfam family: Bacterial small subunit ribosomal RNA
Source: RNAcentral